This 440-nucleotide ribosomal RNA is filed under the name uncultured bacterium. RNAcentral describes it as "partial 16S ribosomal RNA". It matches the Rfam family "Bacterial small subunit ribosomal RNA", at positions 338 to 795 of the family's 1533-position model. The record is from RNAcentral.
CCUACGGGAGGCAGCAGUAGGGAAUAUUGCUCAAUGGGGGAAACCCUGAAGCAGCCACGCCGCGUGGAGGAUGAAGGUUUUCGGAUUGUAAACUCCUUUUGUUAGGGAAGAUAAUGACGGUAUCUAACGAAUAAGCACCGGCUAACUCCGUGCCAGCAGCCGCGGGAAUACGGCGGGUGCAAGCGUUACUCGGAAUCACUGGGCGUAAAGAGCGCGUAGGCGGGAUAGCAAGUCAGAUGUGAAAUCCUAUGGCUUAACCAUAGAACUGCAUUUGAAACUGUUAUUCUAGAGUAUGGGAGAGGUAGGUGGAAUGCUUGGUGUAGGGGUAAAAUGCGUAGAGAUCAAGAGGAAGACUCAUUGCGAAGGCGGCCUGCGAGAACAUAACUGACGCUGAGGCGCGAAAGCGUGGGGAGCAAACAGGAUUAGAUACCCUUGUAGUC